GGAUACGUUCUUUUCUCGCAUGAGAGAAGAUGGAAAGACGGUUUACGCUGUCACUUAUAGAUGGGCCCGCGGCGCAUUAGCUAGUUGGUGAGGUAAUGGCUCACCAAGGCGACGAUGCGUAGCCGACCUGAGAGGGUGAUCGGCCACACUGGGACUGAGACACGGCCCAGACUCCUACGGGAGGCAGCAGUAGGGAAUCUUCCGCAAUGGACGAAAGUCUGACGGAGCAACGCCGCGUGAACGAAGAAGGCCUUCGGGUCGUAAAGUUCUGUUGUUAGGGAAGAACAAGUACCAGAGUAACUGCUGGUACCUUGACGGUACCUAACCAGAAAGCCACGGCUAACUACGUGCCAGCAGCCGCGGUAAUACGUAGGUGGCAAGCGUUGUCCGGAAUUAUUGGGCGUAAAGCGCGCGCAGGUGGUUCCUUAAGUCUGAUGUGAAAGCCCACGGCUCAACC
Molecule: ribosomal RNA, 457 nt
Filed under: bacterium
Lineage: Bacteria
Description: bacterial SSU rRNA
Rfam family: Bacterial small subunit ribosomal RNA
Source: RNAcentral